UUAUACGGUGAUGGCACGUUGAAUACAUCAGUUCCCAAGAGAUCAAUGAAGUUAAGCAAUAUUGCGCGUGGUUAGUAUCCGGAUCGGUGACCAUCUGGCAAUCGCGUACUGUUGGUU
RNAcentral lists this ribosomal RNA (117 nucleotides) under Diaphorina citri (Asian citrus psyllid). The record is from RNAcentral. Lineage: Eukaryota; Metazoa; Arthropoda; Insecta; Hemiptera; Psyllidae.